This 1937-nucleotide long non-coding RNA is filed under the name Panax ginseng (ginseng). RNAcentral's name for it is "long non-coding RNA (PGIN_LNC012969)". Lineage: Eukaryota; Viridiplantae; Streptophyta; Magnoliopsida; Apiales; Araliaceae. The record is from RNAcentral.
GAUGCAGUUUUUGGAUUCCUUUGAUUCUCUAUUAAUUCAUUCGGGUAUGUAUUAUUUCAUUUCAAGAAUUAUGUUUUCUUGAAUUUAUAUUUGCUUUCUAAAAUCUCUGUAACCAUAGCCUUUCCUUAUGUCUGUUGUUUUAUCCCUGUCUCAUGUUUGUUCAAUGUUGAUGAUUCCUAUCGGGGAUUUGAAAUAGUUAGUGCCCACUCAAGGCCAUCUGUAUAUUUGGGUUGGGUAGCAUCUCAGAGAAUGAAUCACUUUCAAUGGGAACUAUGUCAAAUUUUGAUUAAUUAGAUCAUAAUCAGGAAUUCUAAUAUGCUACUUGAACAGAGUAAAAACAGGAGGGAAAAAACAGCCUUGUACCGUUGUACGAGUCUAGAGCAGGACUUUAACCAUGAUAAUUUUCCAAUUUUGGUUAGAAAUUCCUCUAAAAGCAUAAGCUCAUAUUAGCUAACCAUUUUGGUUCAUAUUAGCUAAGUAGUAGGUGUAAAUCCUUUGAACAUCAGUCUGCAACAACCAUUAUCGUGCUAAAACCCAACUAACCAUGAUUUACAAAUACAUGAAAAAAUGAAGACAACCAAAACAGAUGUUAGAUUCUGUUUAAAGAGUAGUAAGCAUGUUAAAAGCGUAUUUCAUUUUUGUUUAGCCAAUUGAAGACAAUUGUACAUCUCAUUUUUGUUCAAGAACUUAACAAUACAGGAAAGCUAAGCAGAAUUUGUGGGGAAAAAUUAAUAAAAUAAUCUAAAUUUGUAGGCAAAGGAUCAGAACCAUAUUUGUAAACUGACUGCUUUACGAGAAGCACGUGUUCUAGCAAAACCUCAGCUUUCUUUCAACUCGGUGACAACCCUUUUUCCUGGAUUGUAAAUAACAAAAUCAAGUGAGCUUCCGGCCUUCCACCUUACUUCUAUACAUUUGCUUAUUUAUUAGUAGUACAUACAGUUCACCAUGUUUUUUUUGGAUGCCUCAUCAAAUGUGGAUACUCUUGCUAAGUGCCUGAGGUUCAAAUGAUGACACUUGAUUCUUACCAUAAGUUGUCUGUUUGGAUUAUAUAGUUAGAUUUUUUUGUGUAGUUUGGUUACUAAGGAGCUUAAGGGUAACCUGGAUCAUGUGUCAAAUGCAAUGAUCUAAUUAAAACUGUGUGUUCGUAUUGAUACGAGGAAAUUAAUGAUAGUGAUGAAGAGAAGGUUUGAAGGGAUGAAGAAGACAUUUAAGAGAGUUAAAUGAUAUGCAAUCCAGUACCGACCUGUCCACCUUUGACGAUGACUAACACAUCACUGACCAAACAAUUGUCUAGGUGUGAAAGUCUCUCUGACCAAGACUCUCUAUAUUUCUCUACUUCUCAUGCAUACACACAACACACACAAUACAUGCAAAAACACACACACAUAACUGUAACCAAUCAAACACUUACAAAUCAAACUCACACACCAUUAUACUGCCACCAAUACAGAUUUAUAAGUUAAAUCAUUAAGCAAAUGAACCGUUUGUUGAAAUGGUACUAAGAAUACUUUAUUUGAUUGUAAGUCUACAUUCAUCCAUAUCUUUUCCAAAAUAAGUUGAUAAUUUGUUACAAUCUCUCUAAAUUCUUACUUAUAUAAAUCUAAAUCAUCCCCCCCCACACUACAUACAAAUGUGUGUGCUCAUUUAUUUUUUAGAUAAUUUAGGGUAAAGUAAGGGUUCUUAUGUUUCGGAUUUAUAGUUGUUUUAUUUUGACUCACAUAUUUCGAUAAUUUUUAUAUUUCAAAUAUUUUCAGGUAUACAUUGAAGGAUACUUGGUGUAAGAUGUAAAGAAUACUUGGUGUAAGCUGUAAAGUAAUGGGUCUUAUGCUCAACAUGUUGUUUCUCUAUUUUCUGCAUGUUUGUAUUUUUUGUGUUACGUCUUUUGUAAAGUUAACUAAUUAUACAUGGUUAUAAUGAUUUUUGGGUAUGGAAUGAUG